RNAcentral lists this ribosomal RNA (414 nucleotides) under uncultured microorganism. RNAcentral describes it as "bacterial SSU rRNA". It matches the Rfam family "Archaeal small subunit ribosomal RNA", at positions 459 to 872 of the family's 1478-position model. The record is from RNAcentral.
CAGCAGCCGCGGUAAUACCGGCGGCCCGAGUGGCGGUCACUAUUAUUGGGCUUAAAGCGUCCGUAGCCGGGUUGGGAAGGCCUCCGGGAAAUCUGGCCGCUUAACGGUCAGAAUGCCGGAGGAUACUCCCAGCCUAGGGAGCGGGAGAGGCCGAGGGUAUUCCCGGAGUAGGGGUGAAAUCCUAUAAUCCCGGGAGGACCACCUGUGGCGAAGGCGCUCGGCUGGGACGCGUCCGACGGUGAGGGACGAAGGCCAGGGGAGCAAACCGGAUUAGAUACCCGGGUAGUCCUGGCGGUAAACGAUGCGGACUUUGUGUCGGACAAGCUAUGAGCUUGUCCGGUGCCGGAGGGAAACCGUUAAGUCCGCCGCCUGGGGAGUACGGCCGCAAGGCUGAAACUUAAAGGAAUUGGCGGG